RNAcentral lists this ribosomal RNA (460 nucleotides) under uncultured bacterium. RNAcentral describes it as "partial 16S ribosomal RNA". It matches the Rfam family "Bacterial small subunit ribosomal RNA", at positions 338 to 795 of the family's 1533-position model. The record is from RNAcentral.
CCUACGGGGGGCUGCAGUGAGGAAUAUUGGUCAAUGGGCGCGAGCCUGAACCAGCCAAGUAGCGUGAAGGAUGACGGCCCUACGGGUUGUAAACUUCUUUUAUAAAGGAAUAAAGUGAGGCACGUGUGCCUUUUUGUAUGUACUUUAUGAAUAAGGAUCGGCUAACUCCGUGCCAGCAGCCGCGGUAAGACGGAGGAUCCGAGCGUUAUCCGGAUUGAUUGGGUUUAAAGGGAGCGUAGGUGGAUUUUUAAGUCAGUGGUGAAAGUUUGCGGCUCAACCGUAAAAUUGCAGUUGAAACUGGCAGUCUUGAGUACAGUAGAGGUGGGCGGAAUUCGUGGUGUAGCGGUGACAUGCUUAGAUAUCACGAAGAACUCCGAUUGCGAAGGCAGCUCACUGGACUGCAACUGACACUGAGGCUCGAAAGUGUGGGUAUCAAACAGGAUUAGAUACCCGGGUAGUC